GACGAACGCUGGCGGCGCGCUUAACACAUGCAAGUCGAACGGAAAGGCCUGCUUUCCCUUGUGGAUUGCGGGUACUCGAGUGGCGAACGGGUGAGUAACACGUGAGUGAUCUGCCCCCAACUUGGGUAUAAGCCUGGGAAACUGGGUCUAAUUCCCGAUAGGACUGCAGGGUGGUGCCUGUGGUUGCAAACGAUUUUCUAGUGGUUGGGGAUGAGCUCGCGGCCUAUCAGCUUGUUGGUGGGGUAAUGGCCUACCAAGGCGGGGACGGGUAGGCGGCCUGGGAGGGUGGACGGGCACAUUGGGACUGAGAUACGGCCCAGACUCCUACGGGAGGCAGCAGGGGGGAAUAUUGCACAAUGGGCGGAAGCCUGAUGCAGCGACGCCGAGUGGGGGAUGACGGCCUUCGGGUGGUAAACUCCUUUCGACCGCGAGGAAGCCACCUGGUUGGAAGGGUGGUGACGGUAGUGGUAGAAGAAGCACCGGCUAACUACGUG
RNAcentral lists this ribosomal RNA (494 nucleotides) under uncultured bacterium. RNAcentral describes it as "partial 16S ribosomal RNA". It matches the Rfam family "Bacterial small subunit ribosomal RNA", at positions 28 to 507 of the family's 1533-position model. The record is from RNAcentral.